UACGAAGGGGGCUAGCGUUGCUCGGAAUCACUGGGCGUAAAGGGUGCGUAGGCGGGUCUUUAAGUCAGGGGUGAAAUCCUGGAGCUCAACUCCAGAACUGCCUUUGAUACUGAAGAUCUUGAGUUCGGAAGAGGUGAGUGGAACUGCGAGUGUAGAGGUGAAAUUCGUAGAUAUUCGCAAGAACACCAGUGGCGAAGGCGGCUCACUGGCCCGAUACUGACGCUGAGGCACGAAAGCGUGGGGAGCAAACGGG
RNAcentral lists this ribosomal RNA (253 nucleotides) under uncultured bacterium. RNAcentral describes it as "partial 16S ribosomal RNA". It matches the Rfam family "Bacterial small subunit ribosomal RNA", at positions 524 to 776 of the family's 1533-position model. The record is from RNAcentral.